Molecule: non-coding RNA, 28 nt
Filed under: Cricetulus griseus (Chinese hamster)
Lineage: Eukaryota; Metazoa; Chordata; Mammalia; Rodentia; Cricetidae
Source: RNAcentral
GUUGGAAGUGGAAAGUUGGAAGACAGAA